RNAcentral lists this long non-coding RNA (2859 nucleotides) under Gossypium barbadense (sea-island cotton). RNAcentral describes it as "long non-coding RNA (GBAR_LNC010243)". Lineage: Eukaryota; Viridiplantae; Streptophyta; Magnoliopsida; Malvales; Malvaceae. The record is from RNAcentral.
UUGAGACUGGUCGAAUAGAUGGUCCCUUAGGGAUUGAUUAUUAUGAACCACAUGUGGAUGAUUCACCGUCAGCCAAAUUUAGUCCAAACUGGUUUACAUUGCUUUGUCUAGAUCCACAAGGUAAGCAUAAGGAGCUUCUAAACGAUAACCCACCUAGACAAGCAUACCCAUCUCGACCUAUUCCUCCCCUAGUAAUUCUACAGCUGCACAUACUGUCACACUUGAGGACAUAUAUUGCACACAGCAACAGCAUUCAAAGUAAGUCAAUUGCUUACAGCAGUAGCAGGACCGUAUGAAGGCAUAUUUACUGCAGUUAUGCCAACACUUUCAUCUUUCAUCACCAGUACGCACGACUAACCCAGAGCCUCUUGAUCAUGAUAUUCCUCGCGAUGUCGAUUAGUGAUUCUACCUAGUUUUAUCUUCUACCUAGUUUUAUCUUUUAUUUAUCAUUUUUUUUAUUUGUACUUUUUUAUUGUUAUUUUUUCUUCUUCUUUUCCAAAUUGCUAUAUUUUUUAUGCACUUUAUUAUUGUUGCUAUUUCAAUUGUUUUUUUUUGUUUAUUCUGUUACCUUUUUAUCUUAUUUUACUUUUGUCUAUUUUCUUAUUACUAUGCAUGGACUCAUGUAAUUAAUUUAGGAUUUCCUAUGUUUUUAGAUUUCACUAUCUCGGCCCAUUCAUCCAAAUUUAGGGCAGUUCCAAUUCUCUUCCUCCCUUUCUUAUAAUGCUUUGCUUAUUGUGAUUAAUUUUGUUUGUAUAUUGAGGGCAAUAUCCAUCUUAAGUGUGGGGAGAAUUUUAUAUGUUAUGUGAUAUAGUCAUUGAAUUGUUGUUUGUGAUAUAGUCAUUAAAUAAUCUCCUUAAGUCUUAUAUUAGAGUUAAUUUUUCUAAAUUUGGAGUUUUUAUUGUUCUGUUUGGGAUUAAUUUAUGGAUUUUUAUGCUUGGUGUUAUUUAUAAUUUAAGACACGAGAGAGUCAAGCAUGAUAAGUCAUUUUUAGAAAACUAUUAUUUUAGGUUGUCUCUCUGAACUGAAGCAUUAUCUUAAAUUUUAAAUUUCUAAGUUUGACAUCAAAACCAUAAAUUUUUUGUGAGCUUUUUAGCCUAUAAAGCAUCUACUUUUUCAUGCUCAUUUUAUUUUGGUUGUGAGUAUAUCAAUUAUAUUUGUUAUUCUAGAACUUGUUUCAGUUAUACAUAUCGAGACCACAUUAUCGAUUUAAUAUGCUGAGAUGAUAGAGGCACUUAGGGUUUAACCUUAAAAUAGUUUACCUAUUGUAUUAUCCUCUAGUAAGCCUCAUUGACUCUAAUCCAUUUUUUUACUUAUCACUCAUUUAUGUGAACCUGAAAACCACAUUAAUUUUGUAAAUCACCAUUUUUAUUGACUCCCUUUUUGUCAAGAUUCAAUUUGGUUAGUUGCUUGAAUCGUUACUCUCACCUUUUGUAUAAAAGCUCACAUCUGCUCUUUAUUUCAAAUUGAUUUAAAUUCUUUUAAUUCAGCAGUUGAUUUUUUUGGUUUAGUAACCUAUCAAUUCGACUCACGAUUGUAAACACCUUUUAUGACCUUUUUCGUACCCUUAACGUAAGCCCCGUUAAGCGAGCCUAUGAUAAUAACACUUCUUGUUUGACUAUUGAGUGUACAUUAAUUGAACUUUAAACACUUUGAGUGCUUUGAGUGAACCUUAGUGAGGGUGUUAAUUCUUGUUGAGUUUGAAUUUCAAGUAAAUAUUGAGAAAAGAGAGACGCCUAUAUUUUUAAGCCUUAAAAUUUUCUACUUGGAUUGCUUGUGCUUUAUAGUGUCAUUUUAGUUUAAAUUUUUAAUGCAUAAUUAUUUGCAGAUUACCCUAAGACAUUGUCGAUGAAAAUAAUAAAUUAAGGGAAGUUAACAUGAAUAUGGGUUGAGAAUUUUGCUUAAGGACAAGUAAACAUUUAAGUUUUGGGAUAUUUGAUAAGUGCUAAAAGUAACAUGUUUUAACCUCAUUCUUAACGCGUUUUGGGUUAUUAUCUGAUGUUAAUUGUGAAUUUUAUACGCCUAAUCCUUUAAAUUAAUGUUUCAAUGCUUAAUAGAGUGCUUGAGAGCAAAAGAAGCGAAAAAAUAAUCGAAAACUGGAGCGUCGAAGCAAGUUGAAGGAGCCACGCAAGCUAUACCUUUUCAUACGGUUAAACCACACGGGUGUGUGAUAGACCGUGUUGAUUUCACAGGAUUGCGCAUUGAACAGUAGAAAAUCACGAUUUUUAGGUUUUUCAGGCAGUCUAAUAUAUAUAUAUGACAAAAAUAAAAUAUAUGAGAGGGGCGUCAAAUAAACUCAAGAAAACAACUCGAAAAAUACCAUUGAAGUCGACUUUGAAGCAGAUUUCCAUCAAGAUUGAAGAUUCCUAGUUGAUUUCUUAGGAAGUUAUCAUGAGUUUCUUUUAUUCUUUCAGUUAUACUGUAUAUUUGAUUUUUCUCUUUUCGAGCAUGAACUAAUUUUCUAAAUACAUAUGGGAGAUAAACCCUACAAUGAAUUAUGUCGUUUUAUUUCUAUUUUACACAAUAAAUACUUAGUUUCUUGUUCUCAAUUAUGUGUGCUUAAUUCUUGGUUUGAUAUUUCUAGAGUAUUAAUCCAUGUUCGAUGUGCUUAAAUCGGUGGUUGAAGAAAACCUGUUUAAGAUUAGAUCUUGCGUAAUUGAGUGGAAUUGCAUACAAUCCUAGAAAUAGGACAACAUAAAUCUAUCGAAUUAGAGUCAAAUCUAAUAGGGGAAUCCAUAGCACAAGUUAGUGUAAUAAUAGGGGUUUAAAUUAGAAAGAAAUUUCAAUUAAUCAACCUAGAGUGAGUUGCUCUGAUGCUCAAAAGAGAUAUUAACAUAAUUUAGAAAUUUCUAUGAAUUAAAG